GAUGAACGCUGGCGGCGUGCCUAAUACAUGCAAGUCGAGCGAACGGACGAGAAGCUUGCUUUUCUGAUGUUAGCGGCGGACGGGUGAGUCACACGUGGAUAACCUACCUAUAAGACUGGGAUAACUUCGGGAAACCGGAGCUAAUACCGGAUAAUAUUUUGAACCGCAUGGUUCAUAAGUGAAAGACGGUCUUGCUGUCACUUAUAGAUGGAUCCGCGCUGCAUUAGCUAGUUGGUAAGGUAACGGCUUACCAAGGCAACGAUGCAUAGCCGACCUGAGAGGAUGAUCGGCCACACUGGAACUGAGACACGGUCCAGACUCCUACGGGAGGCAGCAGUAGGGAAUCUUCCGCAAUGGGCGAAAGCCUGACGGAGCAACGCCGCGUGAGUGAUGAAGGUCUUCGGAUCGUAAAACUCUGUUAUUAGGGAAGAACAUAUGUGUAAGUAACUGUGCACAUCUUGACGGUACCUAAUCAGAAAGCCACGGCUAACUACGUG
This 497-nucleotide ribosomal RNA is filed under the name uncultured bacterium. RNAcentral describes it as "partial 16S ribosomal RNA". It matches the Rfam family "Bacterial small subunit ribosomal RNA", at positions 28 to 507 of the family's 1533-position model. The record is from RNAcentral.